AUUGAACGCUGGCGGCAUGCCUUACACAUGCAAGUCGAACGGCAGCGGACCUUCGGGUGCCGGCGAGUGGCGAACGGGUGAGUAAUAUAUCGGAACGUACCUUUCAGUGGGGGAUAACGUAGCGAAAGUUACGCUAAUACCGCAUAUUCUGUGAGCAGGAAAGCAGGGGAUCGCAAGACCUUGCGCUGAUUGAGCGGCCGAUAUCAGAUUAGCUAGUUGGUGAGGUAAAGGCUCACCAAGGCGGCGAUCUGUAGCGGGUCUGAGAGGAUGAUCCGCCACACUGGAACUGAGACACGGUCCAGACUCCUACGGGAGGCAGCAGUGGGGAAUUUUGGACAAUGGGCGCAAGCCUGAUCCAGCCAUGCCGCGUGAGUGAAGAAGGCCUCGG
RNAcentral lists this ribosomal RNA (388 nucleotides) under uncultured bacterium. RNAcentral's name for it is "bacterial SSU rRNA". It matches the Rfam family "Bacterial small subunit ribosomal RNA", at positions 30 to 420 of the family's 1533-position model. The record is from RNAcentral.